Molecule: long non-coding RNA, 728 nt
Filed under: Amborella trichopoda
Lineage: Eukaryota; Viridiplantae; Streptophyta; Magnoliopsida; Amborellales; Amborellaceae
Description: long non-coding RNA (ATRI_LNC000807)
Source: RNAcentral
AACAUAGAUAAAAUAUCACAAUUUUUAUUAAAAAGAUUAUUUUUCAAGAUAAUGAGGUCACGUGCGCAUAAAAUUUAUUGCGCCUAAAAUUCAUGAUAAUAAGCAGAAAUAAUUAUUUCAUUCCAUUUUUAAAAAGAAUGGAUUAUUUUUUGAGACAAUGGGGUCACUUACACACAAAACUUAUAAAAUAAAGAUCCUGGACGGAAAUAUCACUAUUUAUUAAAACCAGACUAUUUUUCAAGAAGACGAUGUCACUUACCCACAAUUAUUUGAGAGGGAGCUUCCGAUAAAAAAAUUCGGUUCGAGAGAGAAGUUCACUGUGUUUCGACCAGAGAGAGAGAGAGAUCUUCAAAUUUUCUGGAGUGGGAGUGCUCAUGUAACAAUCCUAAAUGUAACAAUCCUAAAAUUUCAAAAAAAAAAAAAAGAAGAGAAAAGAUGCUUUUAAAUAGGUGAUGGUCUGUUUGAGUAUGAUGGUCCUUGGGGACCAUCACUAUUUCAAAAAGUUUUACUUGGUUUAACUUUUGCUUGCCUGUUUUGCUUGCUUGCUUUUGCUUGCUGCUUGCAGCUGGCAACGUCCUUUAGCGGACGUGGUUUUCGUACGUUAAAAGCAGACUUUUAACACGACACCUCAGGUAUGAGGUAGAGCGUAAUAAAAUAAUAUAAUAAUACGUUAUAAGAAUUUAAAUAGGGGAGGUGAGCACUCCUACCCUAAAAAAUUUUGAGAUCUC